CAGUAGCCGCGGUAAUACGUAGGUGGCAAGCGUUGUCCGGAAUUAUUGGGCGUAAAGGGCUCGCAGGCGGUUUCUUAAGUCUGAUGUGAAAGCCCCCGGCUCAACCGGGGAGGGUCAUUGGAAACUGUUAAACUUGAGUGCAGGAGAGAAAAGUGGAAUUCCUAGUGUAGCGGUGAAAUGCGUAGAGAUGUGGAGGAACACCAGUGGCGAAGGCGACUCUCUGGUCUGUAACUGACGCUGAGGAGCGAAAGCGUGGGGAGCGAACAGGAUUAGAUACCCCUGUAGUCCCUGUCUCUUAUAA
RNAcentral lists this ribosomal RNA (301 nucleotides) under uncultured bacterium. RNAcentral's name for it is "partial 16S ribosomal RNA". It matches the Rfam family "Bacterial small subunit ribosomal RNA", at positions 509 to 809 of the family's 1533-position model. The record is from RNAcentral.